GGCAGGGUAGCUCAGAUGGUGAGAGCGCACGACUCAUAAUCGUGAGGUCGCGGGUUCGAUCCCCGCUCCUGCUA
Molecule: transfer RNA, 74 nt
Filed under: Microbacterium resistens
Lineage: Bacteria; Bacillati; Actinomycetota; Actinomycetes; Micrococcales; Microbacteriaceae
Also listed under: 1 other name
Description: tRNA-Met
Rfam family: tRNA
About the family: Transfer RNA (tRNA) molecules are approximately 80 nucleotides in length. Their secondary structure includes four short double-helical elements and three loops (D, anti-codon, and T loops).
Source: RNAcentral